Trichonephila clavipes is the source of this 72-nucleotide non-coding RNA. Lineage: Eukaryota; Metazoa; Arthropoda; Arachnida; Araneae; Nephilidae. The record is from the annotation of a GenBank genome assembly.
GGGGUUAUAGAUCAGUGGUAGAGCAUUCGACUGCAGAUUGACAGGUCCCCGGUUCAAGCCCGGGUGCCCUCU